This 432-nucleotide non-coding RNA is filed under the name Peptoclostridium litorale DSM 5388. RNAcentral's name for it is "Bacterial small subunit ribosomal RNA". It matches the Rfam family "Bacterial small subunit ribosomal RNA", at positions 1 to 416 of the family's 1533-position model. Lineage: Bacteria; Bacillati; Bacillota; Clostridia; Peptostreptococcales; Peptoclostridiaceae. The record is from Rfam by way of RNAcentral.
UUUAUUAAGAGUUUGAUCCUGGCUCAGGAUGAACGCUGGCGGCGUGCUUAACACAUGCAAGUCGAGCGAACAAAGCGAUGUGAAGCCUUCGGGUGGAUCAUCGCGGCGUGAGCGGCGGACGGGUGAGUAACACGUGGGUAACCUGCCCUGUACACUGGGAUAACGCACCGAAAGGUGUGCUAAUACCGGAUAAAGUGAACCUUUCGCAUGGAAGGAUCACCAAAGCUCCGGCGGUACAGGAUGGACCCGCGUCCCAUUAGCUAGUUGGUGAGGUAACGGCUCACCAAGGCGACGAUGGGUAGCCGACCUGAGAGGGUGAUCGGCCACACUGGAACUGAGACACGGUCCAGACUCCUACGGGAGGCAGCAGUGGGGAAUAUUGCACAAUGGGCGAAAGCCUGAUGCAGCAACGCCGCGUGAGCGAUGAAGGCC